AACAAGGGUCAUAUAUUAUAAUAAAUGCAUUUCCGGUAUAAUUGAUUUCAAACUCUUUUCUUGCAAUGUUAUGGGUACACUUAUAAUAUGGUACAAUUGUAAAGAAAAAUAAGUCGAAUGCAUCGUGUGUUGAAUGGUUCGAAUGUAACGGUUAUUGUUUGAGGACUCUAAUUAACGGAAGUAGAGUUAUUGACGGCGGAAAGGUGCGCACAUGUUAUUAGAUCCGGUCGGUUAAGACGUUCAUUCGUGGCACAGAACAAAAUUGGAUUAUCUGUAAGCACAGAGUAUGUCUGUAAGCAAUAAGCACCAAUGUAUAACCUCCAUUUUUCACUGUAAAUUUAUUGUUUGUAUACAAAUAUUGAUAUAGAAACAUAUUUAUAGUAUCAUUUACUGGAGCUAUUCUCGAUACGCUAUAAAUGUUUAUAUAUAAUAUAUUAUGGUAUAAAUUCAUUAU
This is a long non-coding RNA of Aphis gossypii (cotton aphid), 454 nucleotides long. RefSeq lists it as uncharacterized. The record is from RefSeq and is a predicted model, not a curated record. The transcript has 2 exons. NCBI's taxonomy places the organism in Eukaryota, Metazoa, Arthropoda, Insecta, Hemiptera, Aphididae.